AGCAUAUCAAUAAGCGGAGGAAAAGAAACCAACAGGGAUUGCCUCAGUAACGGCGAGUGAAGCGGCAACAGCUCAAAUUUGAAAUCUGAAGUCUCUGGCUUCCGAGUUGUAAUUUGAAGAGGAUGUUUCGGUGCGGCCUGGGCCUAAGUUCCUUGGAACAGGACGUCAUGGAGGGUGAGAAUCCCGUACAUGGCUGCAGGCUUGCUUCUAUGUGAAACUCCUUCGAAGAGUCGAGUUGUUUGGGAAUGCAGCUCAAAAUGGGUGGUAAAUUUCAUCUAAAGCUAAAUAUUGGCGGGAGACCGAUAGCGCACAAGUAGAGUGAUCGAAAGAUGAAAAGCACUUUGAAAAGAGAGUUAAACAGUACGUGAAAUUGUUGAAAGGGAAGCGCUUGCAAUCAGACUCGCCUUCAGUUGAUCAACCUUCCUUCUGGUUGGUGCACUCUGCUGUUGGCGGGCCAGCAUCAGUUGGGACGGUGGGACAAAGGCAGCAGGAAUGUGGCUCGCUUCGGUGAGUGUUAUAGCCUGCUGCGUCAUGCCACCAGCCCCGACUGAGGUCCGCGGUUCGCCUAGGAUGCUGGCUUAAUGGUUGUAAGCGACCCGUCU
Molecule: ribosomal RNA, 602 nt
Filed under: uncultured fungus
Lineage: Eukaryota; Fungi
Description: eukaryotic LSU rRNA
Rfam family: Eukaryotic large subunit ribosomal RNA
Source: RNAcentral